AGAACUUCAGAUCGAUUCUGCGCUAGUCGAUCGCCAGACGCCACAGAACGUACGCCAUGGCAGCGAGUCCCGCCGUCUCAGCCCGUGUAGAUCUUCCUGCGCGGUACCGAUUGAUGCGCCAUCGAGUACACGAGCCCGGCGAUCACUUGAUUUAUUCCUCCAGCAAUCGAGUCGAAGAGUAAGUGUUGCUGGAGCUCAUUUGACUGAAUUGGCUACUCCACAUUUUGAGGGGCUACAGUUGAAUAAUACAACUCCUUUUGAUGGGAAUCAGUUUAUGCCAGCAUUUGGUCUUCCUCAUUGUUUUAACAUGAGACAACAAUUUCCUCCUGUGGAUCAAAAUUUCAUUGCUGAUGGAAACAUAGAACAGAGCUCAAAUCAUACAUGCUGCAGGAGAAGAGAUUUUCCACAAAAAUCAGCAUUUCACAAGUUUUCUGAGAAGCACGAGUUUGGAAGUUCCAGUACUUAUAUGGAGCCAUCAUUUUUUAAGAAAGCAACAGACUCGAGUCGUAAAGAAGAAAGAAAUCCACCAAAGCCUCCAAAAUUUCUUGCAGAAAAUUGCAACCGUCAAGCGCAUCAUGGCAGUGUGAGUAUCUCAUUACCUGUUUCAGAUUCCGUUUCUUCAUUCAGUGUCCAUUUUAGAUGUUCUUGUAUCCCACUGCUACAGCCUUUGUAUUCUUAUGCUGCAGUUAUUUUAUCUUACGUCACUUUGGCGCUGAUUUUGAUAACACUGAUUUUUUGUGUUGUUACUCUUGGUUGGCCUACCUGUUCAAUAUCAAGAUUUCUUUAAAACUAGCUUGGGAGAGAUCGAUAAACAGGCAAGCUACCACAAUUGCCAUCAGAUAUGGCCAGUGGGUUUUACAUCUUACUGGCA
Molecule: long non-coding RNA, 871 nt
Organism: Triticum aestivum (bread wheat)
Lineage: Eukaryota; Viridiplantae; Streptophyta; Magnoliopsida; Poales; Poaceae
Exons: 3
Source: RefSeq, a predicted model, not a curated record